This 137-nucleotide ribosomal RNA is filed under the name uncultured bacterium. RNAcentral's name for it is "partial 16S ribosomal RNA". It matches the Rfam family "Bacterial small subunit ribosomal RNA", at positions 355 to 509 of the family's 1533-position model. The record is from RNAcentral.
UGGGGAAUAUUGCAAAAUGGGGGAAACCCUGAUGCAGCGACGCCGCGUGAAGGAAGAAGUAUCUCGGUAUGUAAACUUCUAUCAGCAGGGAAGACAAUGACGGUACCUGACUAAGAAGCCCCGGCUAACUACGUGCC